Molecule: ribosomal RNA, 466 nt
Filed under: uncultured bacterium
Lineage: Bacteria
Description: partial 16S ribosomal RNA
Rfam family: Bacterial small subunit ribosomal RNA
Source: RNAcentral
GACGAACGCUGGCGGUGUGCUUAACACAUGCAAGUCGAACGGUAAGGCCCUUUCGGGGGUACACGAGUGGCGCACGGGUGAGUAACACGUGAGUAACCUGCCCUCAUCUCUGGGAUAACAGUCGGAAACGGUUGCUAAUGCUGGAUAUGAGCUUGCAAGGCAUCUUGUGGGUUGGAAAGAUUUUUUUGGUUGGGGAUGGACUCGCGGCCUAUCAGCUUGUUGGUGAGGUAGUGGCUCACCAAGGCUUCGACGGGUAGCCGGCCUGAGAGGGCGACCGGCCACAUUGGGACUGAGAUACGGCCCAAACUCCUACGGGAGGCAGCAGUGGGGAAUAUUGCACAAUGGACGGAAGUCUGAUGCAGCAACGCCGCGUGCGGGAUGACGGCCUUCGGGUUGUAAACCGCUUUCAAUUGUGACGAAGCUUUUUGUGACGGUAGCAGUAGAAGAAGCACCGGCUAACUACGUG